RNAcentral lists this ribosomal RNA (405 nucleotides) under uncultured bacterium. RNAcentral's name for it is "partial 16S ribosomal RNA". It matches the Rfam family "Bacterial small subunit ribosomal RNA", at positions 28 to 526 of the family's 1533-position model. The record is from RNAcentral.
GAUGAACGCUGGCGGCGUGCCUAAUACAUGCAAGUCGCGCGAAGCGGGGACGGGUGAGUAACACGUGGAUAACCUCCUCUAAGACUGGGAUAACUUCGGGAAACCGGAGCUAAACCGGAUCCUUAUAGAUGGAUCUGCGCUGCAUUAGAUAGUUGGUACGGUAACGGCUUACCAAGGCAACGAUGCAUAGCCGACCUGAGAGGGUUAUCGGCCACACUGGAACUGCGACACGGUCAAGACUCCUACGGGAGGCAGCAGUAGGGAAUCUUCCGCAAUGGGCGAAAGCCGGACGUAGCAACGCCGAGUGAGUGAUGAAGGUAUUGGGAUCGUAAAACUCUGUUAUUGGGGAAGCGGUACCUAAUCAGAACGCCACGGCUAACUACGUGCCAGCAGCCGCGGUAAUUC